CUUGCAAACCAAAGCUGGCGACCGGCGCACGGGUGAGUAACACGUAUCCAACCUGCCUCAUACUCGGGGAUAGCCUUUCGAAAGAAAGAUUAAUAUCCGAUAGCAUAUAUUUCCCGCAUGGGUUUUAUAUUAAAGAAAUUCGGUAUGAGAUGGGGAUGCGUUCCAUUAGUUUGUUGGGGGGGUAACGGCCCACCAAGACUACGAUGGAUAGGGGUUCUGAGAGGAAGGUCCCCCACAUUGGAACUGAGACACGGUCCAAACUCCUACGGGAGGCAGCAUG
RNAcentral lists this ribosomal RNA (280 nucleotides) under uncultured bacterium. RNAcentral describes it as "partial 16S ribosomal RNA". It matches the Rfam family "Bacterial small subunit ribosomal RNA", at positions 74 to 353 of the family's 1533-position model. The record is from RNAcentral.